This 244-nucleotide unclassified non-coding RNA is filed under the name Hevea brasiliensis (rubber tree). Lineage: Eukaryota; Viridiplantae; Streptophyta; Magnoliopsida; Malpighiales; Euphorbiaceae. The record is from RNAcentral.
AUGGAUAGAUUCCUAAUAUGCAGACUAUUAAGUAUGUGCAGGUCCAUAUGAAACUGAUAUGUAGUGAUUUCUAAGUGUAUGUCGAUCCUACUUUAUUGUCGAAAUUCUCAAUAACUCAUGUAGUAUAAAAACAUAUGACCCUUGAUAGUCAAACCAAUGACUAGAUCUCUAAAGUUGUAUGUUUCACAUUGAUAUUAAUAAUCUGAGAAGGUGAGAAGGAAUUGUAGCACGAGAUGAAAAGAAA